GACGAACCGUCCGAACGUUAUUCGGAAUUAUUGGGCUUAAAGGGUGCGUAGGCGGCCUUGUAAGUCGGGUGUGAAAUCCCACGGCUCAACCGUGGAACUGCGCUCGAUACUGCAUGGCUUGAGGGAGACAGAGGUAAGCGGAACUGAUGGUGGAGCGGUGAAAUGCGUUGAUAUCAUCAGGAACACCGGUGGCGAAAGCGGCUUACUGGGUCUCUUCUGACGGUGAGGCACGAAAGCUAGGGUAGCGAACGGG
This 253-nucleotide ribosomal RNA is filed under the name uncultured bacterium. Its description in RNAcentral is "partial 16S ribosomal RNA". It matches the Rfam family "Bacterial small subunit ribosomal RNA", at positions 524 to 776 of the family's 1533-position model. The record is from RNAcentral.